This is a long non-coding RNA of Syngnathus typhle (broad-nosed pipefish), 273 nucleotides long. RefSeq lists it as uncharacterized. NCBI's taxonomy places the organism in Eukaryota, Metazoa, Chordata, Actinopteri, Syngnathiformes, Syngnathidae. The transcript has 3 exons. The record is from RefSeq and is a predicted model, not a curated record.
AGAUAAUGUAUCUUGGUGCAGCCUCCAACAACCUUGCAUCAACCACCCUGGCUUUCUUCCUAGAAUCUGUUGAGAAGUUUGGUUUUCCUCUCAGGGUUCGUGCUGAUCAGGGAGUGGAAAAUGUUGACGUUGCACGCAGCAUGUUUACAGUCCGUGGCCCUGGGAAGAGCAGCUUUAUAUCCGGGAAGAGUGUUCACAACCAAAGGAUGACCUAGGUACUUUUCGUGAUGGUUGGGACAAUCAUCCGCUGAGGACAGAAAGCAACAUGACCCC